GAUGAACGCUGGCGGCGUGCCUAAUACAUGCAAGUCGAGCGAACAGACGAGGAGCUUGCUCCUCUGACGUUAGCGGCGGACGGGUGAGUAACACGUGGAUAACCUACCUAUAAGACUGGGAUAACUUCGGGAGACCGGAGCUAAUACCGGAUAAUAUAUUGAACCGCAUGGUUCAAUAGUGAAAGACGGUUUUGCUGUCACUUAUAGAUGGAUCCGCGCCGCAUUAGCUAGUUGGUAAGGUAACGGCUUACCAAGGCGACGAUGCGUAGCCGAUCUGAGAGGGUGAUCGGCCACACUGGAACUGAGACACGGUCCAGACUCCUACGGGAGGCAGCAGUAGGGAAUCUUCCGCAAUGGGCGCAAGCCUGAUGGAGCAACGCCGCGUGAGUGAUGAAGGUCUUCGGAUCGUAAAACCCUGUUAUUGGGGAAGAACAAAUGUGGAUGUAACCAUGCACGUCUUGACGGUACCUAAUCAGAAAGCCACGGCUAACUACGUG
RNAcentral lists this ribosomal RNA (497 nucleotides) under uncultured bacterium. RNAcentral describes it as "partial 16S ribosomal RNA". It matches the Rfam family "Bacterial small subunit ribosomal RNA", at positions 28 to 507 of the family's 1533-position model. The record is from RNAcentral.